CAUGGCUGUCGUCAGCUCGUGUCAUGAGAUGUGGUUAAGUCCCGCAACGAGCGCAACCCUCGCCUUUAGUUGCCAGCAUUCAGUUGGGCACUCUAGAGGGGACUGCCGGUGUCAAACCGGAGGAAGGUGGGGAUGACGUCAAGUCCUCAUGGCCUUUAUGUCUAGGGCUACACACGUACUACAAUGGCCGGUACAAAGGGCAGCCACUCAGCGAUGAGGCGCUAAUCCCAUAAAGCCGGUCUCAGUCCGGAUCGCAGUCUGCAACUCGACUGCGUGAAGUUGGAAUCGCUAGUAAUCGUAGAUCAGCGUGCUACGGUGAAUACGUUCCCGGGCCUU
Molecule: ribosomal RNA, 336 nt
Filed under: uncultured Desulfovibrio sp.
Lineage: Bacteria; Pseudomonadati; Thermodesulfobacteriota; Desulfovibrionia; Desulfovibrionales; Desulfovibrionaceae
Description: bacterial SSU rRNA
Rfam family: Bacterial small subunit ribosomal RNA
Source: RNAcentral